AUACAGAGGGUGCAAGCGUUAAUCGGAAUUACUGGGCGUAAAGCGCGCGUAGGCGGUUUAAUCAGUCGGAUGUGAAAGCCCCGGGCUCAACCUGGGAACUGCAUUCGAUACUGUUAAGCUAGAGUAUGGUAGAGGGAAGUGGAAUUCCAGGUGUAGCGGUGAAAUGCGUAGAUAUCUGGAGGAACAUCAGUGGCGAAGGCGACUUCCUGGACCAAUACAGACGCUGAGGUGCGAAAGCGUGGGGAGCAAACAGGAUUAGAUACCCUAGUAGUCC
RNAcentral lists this ribosomal RNA (274 nucleotides) under uncultured bacterium. RNAcentral's name for it is "partial 16S ribosomal RNA". It matches the Rfam family "Bacterial small subunit ribosomal RNA", at positions 523 to 796 of the family's 1533-position model. The record is from RNAcentral.